This is a long non-coding RNA of Cucumis melo (muskmelon), 1235 nucleotides long. RefSeq lists it as uncharacterized. NCBI's taxonomy places the organism in Eukaryota, Viridiplantae, Streptophyta, Magnoliopsida, Cucurbitales, Cucurbitaceae. The record is from RefSeq and is a predicted model, not a curated record. The transcript has 3 exons.
CCCCCAUAUUUCGAUUCGAAUAUGUUUAGGGUUCACGAUUCUCUUCCCCAAAUUUCCUCUUUCCCCCAAAGACUUCACGAUCUUCUCUUCCGUCUGCUCGUAAGCCCUCAUUCAUUGCAAGUUGCCGCUGAAGAUUGGUUGCAUUCAUCCGCCGCUGAAGACUUGUUGCAUUCGUCCGCCAUUGAAGACUUGUUGGGUUCAUCUGCCGCUCUAGGAAAGUUAUGUUCGUUCGGCAUAGUUCAGAAAUUCAUCGCGCACUAUCUCUGCUUGCAAUAGGUUUUUUGGUUGCAUUCGUCCUCCGCUGAAGAUUUGUUGCAUUCGUCCGCCGCUCAAGGAAAAUUGUGUUUGUCCGCCGUAGUUUAGAAAUUUGUCACGCACCGUUCCCAGAUUCGUCGCGCAGCGUUCUGCUUGCAACAGUUUCGUGAAUUCUUUCGUUUUGUUAGGGCGAAGUUCUCUCUAUCUUUUGCCCUUUAUUUAUCUCUUUCCCUUAAGUUGUCGAGUCUAUAGGAGUAGUGUUCCAAAUUAUAGCUUCUCUAACAGACUGAGCUGUGCUUUUUUUUUUUUUUUUUUAUAUAUAUAUAUAUAUAUAUAUAUCUAUGGUAAUUUGAUGUCAGUCGGCGGAAGCUGUGAAUUGCUUGAUUGGCUGUUCUUUUGAAUUGAAGCCAUUGAUAUUCCAUACUGGGAAUGGAACUUCAUUUUGUUUAGCAAGUUAAGAAGGUUUAUCAUAUGUAUUUGCAGGACACUUUGGGCAUCAACCAGAACAUUUAAAACCAGGAUUGUUGUCUAAUGGUCGUGAACCUUGCUUUCUCUAUCAAGCUAUCGUUGUCGAUAUGCUUGGAGUUGGGGCAAUGGAAAUAGCAUAUGCAGAGCUGAAGAGGGGUUCAAGUUUAUGUUCAUGACUUCAUGGAAGGAGAAAGAAUGAUGAGAAUCUUCAACUACAAAAUCCGAAAGCAUAAAUCUAUUUUUUCUUCUCCACUUUUAGAUUUCAAGAAGUUGAUGAUAACAAUCGUGAGACUUUGAGUUUGGAGUUAUCUAAGAGUGUGGGGCUUGGAGGAGGGUGAUGUCUUUGUUUCUUAUUAUUACAUAUACUUUGUGUUUUAUGAUUAAGAAUGAUGAUCAUAACUUGUUUUGUAAUAUGAAUAAGAACGAUUUUCCUAAUUAGUUAUAAGUAUGUAAUGACCAACUAUAUGUAUAUUCAAGGAUAUAUAUGCAAUUUGUUAGUUCUUUGAUUGAAA